Molecule: ribosomal RNA, 307 nt
Filed under: uncultured bacterium
Lineage: Bacteria
Description: bacterial SSU rRNA
Rfam family: Bacterial small subunit ribosomal RNA
Source: RNAcentral
GAUGAACGCUAGCGGCAGGCCUAAUACAUGCAAGUCGAACGAGAUUUUAUCUUUCGGGAUAAAUGACAGUGGCGCACGGGUGCGUAACGCGUAUGCAACCUACCCUUAACUGGAGGAUAGCCCGGAGAAAUUCGGAUUAAUACUCCAUAGUAUCACCAGAUGGCAUCUGAAGGUGAUUAAAGAUUUAUCGGUUAAGGAUGGGCAUGCGUGACAUUAGCUAGUUGGUGAGGUAACGGCUCACCAAGGCAACGAUGUCUAGGGGUUCUGAGAGGAUGAUCCCCCACACUGGUACUGAGAUACGGACCAG